UUUUUAUAUGAGACUAUUUGACAAGUCAUCAUGUACGGUCUUUUAUCUAUAUACACUAUAUCCUUAAUAAUAUUUU
This 76-nucleotide small RNA is filed under the name Arabidopsis thaliana (thale cress). RNAcentral describes it as "ATSL116570". Lineage: Eukaryota; Viridiplantae; Streptophyta; Magnoliopsida; Brassicales; Brassicaceae. The record is from RNAcentral.